RNAcentral lists this ribosomal RNA (446 nucleotides) under uncultured bacterium. Its description in RNAcentral is "partial 16S ribosomal RNA". It matches the Rfam family "Bacterial small subunit ribosomal RNA", at positions 338 to 795 of the family's 1533-position model. The record is from RNAcentral.
CCUACGGGAGGCAGCAGUAGGGAAUUUUCGGCAAUGGGGGGAACCCUGACCGAGCAACGCCGCGUGAACGAAGAAGUUCUUCGUAAUGUAAAGUUCUUUUUACAGGGAAGAAAGAGAAUUUUUACGGUACCUGAAGAAUAAGCUCCGGCUAACUACGUUCCAGCAGCCGCGUUAAUACGUAGGGAGCGAGCGUUAUCCGGAUUUAUUGGGCGAAAAGGGUGCGGAGAUGGCGUAGUAAGUCUUUUGUAAAAAUGCGGGGCGCAACCCAGUAGGGCAAAAGAUACUGGAAAGCUAGAGUAGGAGAGAGGUAAGUGGAACUACAGGUGUAGCGGUAAAAUGCGUAAAUAUAUGGAAGAACACCAGUGGCGAAGGCGGCUUGCUGGGUCGAUACUGACGUUGAGGCACGAAAGCGUGGGGAGCGAACAGGAUUAGAUACCCUUGUAGUC